Molecule: long non-coding RNA, 370 nt
Organism: Mastomys coucha (southern multimammate mouse)
Lineage: Eukaryota; Metazoa; Chordata; Mammalia; Rodentia; Muridae
Exons: 2
Source: RefSeq, a predicted model, not a curated record
CCAGAUCUUACAUCUUGACUGGUUUAAAGAACUCUGAGACUUCUUUUCCCUCCUUCGGCAUCACAGGCAGGACCAGCACCAUCUACCAUCUCCCAGCACUCAGACGCUUCAGCUUUUGCCCUGCUUCCAUCUGCUACCUCCCUUCUGAGUGAGCAUCCUCCUACACUGGUUCUCCCUGAGUUGAUGGGAAAGGAAACAGUAGACCCACAGUCCUCCCCUUGAAGGCACCAUCCUCCUUUGUGCUGAAUACUUCUCAGCAUGCUGUUCUCGGAUACAGCAAACCUGCUGGAACCUGAACAAUUUAAGCUACAGCCAGGGAGCAAGGUGGAUAGACAGAGGGUCUUUCUAUUAAAAAUAACUGCUGCAUAUA